AUGAGUUUGUAUCACUGUGGUACACGUUCGGUGGAGGAACCAGACUGGAUGUUGGAAGUUUUUGUACGACGACUCAAUGAGUUUGUAUCACUGUGGUGGACUUUUGGUGGAGGAACCAGACUGGAUGUUGGAAGUGAUGCCCGUCCCACCCUGACAGUGCUACCCCCCUCCAUUGAGGAGCUGGACCAGGGCAAGGCCACGCUCACGUGUCUGGCCAACAAUGGCUUCCCCUCAGACUGGAGUCUGGCCUGGAGUCUGAACUGGAAGGUGGACGGCAGCAGCAGCGUGGAGCAGAGCAGGAGCCCCGUGGUGCUGCAGAAGGACGGCCACUACAGCUGGAGCAGCACCCUGAGGCUCACUGCAGACCAGUGGAGGAAGGUGGGCUCUGUGAUCUGUGAGGCCACCCAGGGCUCCCAGGCUCCACUCUCAAAGACACUGAGGAGAGACCAGUGUUCCCAGUCCUGA
This is a non-coding RNA of Scomber japonicus (chub mackerel), 465 nucleotides long. The record is from the annotation of a RefSeq genome assembly. NCBI's taxonomy places the organism in Eukaryota, Metazoa, Chordata, Actinopteri, Scombriformes, Scombridae.